UCGCGCUGCUAAGCUGUGCGCAGCUUGCUCGUUUGCCCGGAAGAAGAGACAGCCGCCAUCAUUUCACCACCACGCAGCUUCUGACCUCAUGCCACCGCCGUUGCGCCGCAAAAAUAUUUUAGUUUUCUGACGUUUUCUUCCCCUGAACUGCCUAAAACAAAUACGUGAGGGUACUGAUCCAAAUGUGUGUGGACCACGGCGUACCAGAGAAAACUACAACUCUGCUGUGAACCAUCUGCUAAUCAACAAUACAACAGACGUUGAUGGAGUAAAGUUUGGGUGGUGACACAGCUAAGACCUGCAUAUCUUUUCAAGAAAGUUGGUGUUCCUGACAUUUUCAAACCCCCAAGUUUAAACAACGUCAAGAAAUUAAUUCUCAAGGACUUCAGCAUUCUGUGUUGUUGUGAACAUCAUCAGAAUGAAGAGAAUGAGAAGCAAACCAGUGUCAAGAAGAUUACCCACUAAAGACGGAAUCAAACCUUGGCAGGACAUUUUGCGUGGAGGAGACGAUGAACAGGAAAAGAUGGUGCAGCAACAACUGAUCCAAAUCCAGCAGACUCGCUGAUAGCAACAUACCUACAGACAGGGCCCCAAAACUGGCUCUAGUCCAAGAAUUUCAGUAAACAAAUUAAAUAAAUGAAUAACACAUUAAA
This is a long non-coding RNA of Fundulus heteroclitus (mummichog), 653 nucleotides long. RefSeq lists it as uncharacterized. The transcript has 6 exons. The record is from RefSeq and is a predicted model, not a curated record. NCBI's taxonomy places the organism in Eukaryota, Metazoa, Chordata, Actinopteri, Cyprinodontiformes, Fundulidae.